CCUACGGGUGGCUGCAGUAGGGAAUAUUGCUCAAUGGUGGAAACCCUGAAGCAGCAACGCCGCGUGGAGGAUGAAGGUUUUCGGAUUGUAAACUCCUUUUGUUAGAGAAGAUAAUGACGGUAUCUAACCACUAAUGACCGGCUAACUCCGUGCCAGGAGCCGCGGUAAUACGGAGGGUGCAAGCGUUAUUCGGAAUCACUGGGCGUAAAGGGCGCGUAGGCGGGAUAGCAAGUUAGCUGUGAAAUCCUAUGGCUUAACCAUAGAACUGCAGUUGAAACUGUUAGUCUAGAGUAGGGGAGAGGUAGGUGGAAUGCUUGGUGUAGGGGUAAAAUGCGUAGAGAUCAAGAGGAAUACUCAUUGCGAAGGCGACCUGCUAGAACAUAACUGACGCUGAUGCGCGAAAGCGUGGGGAGCAAACAGGAUUAGAUACCCCUGUAGUC
RNAcentral lists this ribosomal RNA (440 nucleotides) under uncultured bacterium. RNAcentral describes it as "partial 16S ribosomal RNA". It matches the Rfam family "Bacterial small subunit ribosomal RNA", at positions 338 to 795 of the family's 1533-position model. The record is from RNAcentral.